This 253-nucleotide ribosomal RNA is filed under the name uncultured bacterium. RNAcentral describes it as "partial 16S ribosomal RNA". It matches the Rfam family "Bacterial small subunit ribosomal RNA", at positions 524 to 776 of the family's 1533-position model. The record is from RNAcentral.
UACGUAGGGUGCUAGCGUUGUCCGGAAUUACUGGGCGUAAAGCGCACGUAGGCGGCUUUGCAAGUUAGAGGUGAAAGCCCGGGGCUCAACUCCGGAAUUGCCUUUAAAACUGCAUCGCUAGAAUUGUGGAGAGGUAAGUGGAAUUCCGAGUGUAGAGGUGAAAUUCGUAGAUAUUCGGAAGAACACCAGUGGCGAAGGCGACUUACUGGACACAUAUUGACGCUGAGGUGCGAAAGCGUGGGGAGCAAACAGG